Long non-coding RNA from Asparagus officinalis (garden asparagus), 748 nucleotides. RefSeq lists it as uncharacterized. The transcript is spliced from 2 exons. The record is from RefSeq and is a predicted model, not a curated record. NCBI's taxonomy places the organism in Eukaryota, Viridiplantae, Streptophyta, Magnoliopsida, Asparagales, Asparagaceae.
UUUCUUCCCCCCUUUCUCUCCGCUGCCCUAGUGAAAAUGAGGGAGAGCGACGGAAAGCCUCCCUCAUCGCCUCCCGACCUGACCCCGAGAGAUCGCCUCUCCCUCCAAAACUCGAGUGCUCGUUCUCUCCUCUCUCCAAAACUCGAGUGCUCGUUCUCUCCUCUCUCGCCUCCUCGUUCUCUCCUCUCCUCUCCUCUCUCUCUCUCUCUCUCUCUCUCUCUCUCUCUCUCUCUCUCUCUUUCUCUCGAUCCAUGAUUUAACUUUGCCUAAACCCUAGUUCUACGCCUGACCAAACUCUCGACGCCGAUCAAAUCCCAGUCUGACGCCAAUCAAACCGUUGUUCAACUUUUUUAGUUUUUGACAGUAAAACAACACUGUAGCUCUCCGAUCUGAUUGAAUUUUCUCAGAUUUGCUGAAGAUUCCUGUUCUCUCAUGUGAAAAUGAAUCUAGCAAAGAAAAAACUUAAUGAUUCAUCAGUUAAGGGGAUGAAAGAUGCGAGAUUGAUGUUUUGAUGGGCUCACUAAAGUCAAAAACCAAGGAGUUCUGCAUAUUUUUCUCUCUUUUGUUUUGAUUCUCUAUAUAUGAAAUUGAUUGUAAUAGACUUUGUUGAUUAAGAUCUUCUAUAUGAAAUUGAUUGUAAUAGACUUUGUUGGUUAAGAUUUUCUAUAUGAAAUUGAUUGUAAUAGACUUUGUGACUAGAAAUGGAUUAUACUUUAUAUUAGGAAUAUCAUGACAUUUACUUUAGAUU